CCCUGGGUGGUGAAAACGGUUAACGCACUUGGCUGCUAACCAAAAGGUUGGAGGGUUGGAUCCACCCAGAGGGA
RNAcentral lists this transfer RNA (74 nucleotides) under Loxodonta africana (African savanna elephant). It matches the Rfam family "tRNA". Rfam says of the family: Transfer RNA (tRNA) molecules are approximately 80 nucleotides in length. Their secondary structure includes four short double-helical elements and three loops (D, anti-codon, and T loops). Further hydrogen bonds mediate the characteristic L-shaped molecular structure. tRNAs have two regions of fundamental functional importance: the anti-codon, which is responsible for specific mRNA codon recognition, and the 3' end, to which the tRNAs corresponding amino acid is attached (by aminoacyl-tRNA synthetases). tRNAs cope with the degeneracy of the genetic code in two manners: having more than one tRNA (with a specific anti-codon) for a particular amino acid; and 'wobble' base-pairing, i.e. permitting non-standard base-pairing at the 3rd anti-codon position. Lineage: Eukaryota; Metazoa; Chordata; Mammalia; Proboscidea; Elephantidae. The record is from Rfam by way of RNAcentral.